AUGUUUGUAGGUUGUAGGUCUGAGAGGAAAGGUGUGACCAGGUGGUAGGUCCCUCCGAUACCUAGUUCACCUGUGUUGUUGCUCUCCAUACAGUUAUAUACUGAUUUAACCUGCACAGGUAAAGACAGAUCGGACUCUAAUACCCUCUAAUCGAUCAACCAUGACCAGGGUGAUUGACGAGGUGAAUUUAUUGCUGUGACAAAAGAGAGACAACUCCUGUUUGCUUCACUAAGAGGAUUUGCUAAGACCUCCUGGGACUGUUUUAACAGUUUAAAAUGAUUAAAGCAUUUCCAAACUUU
Ostrea edulis (European flat oyster) is the source of this 299-nucleotide long non-coding RNA. RefSeq lists it as uncharacterized. Lineage: Eukaryota; Metazoa; Mollusca; Bivalvia; Ostreida; Ostreidae. The transcript is spliced from 2 exons. The record is from RefSeq and is a predicted model, not a curated record.